This 375-nucleotide non-coding RNA is filed under the name Desulfosporosinus sp. I2. RNAcentral's name for it is "Bacterial large subunit ribosomal RNA". It matches the Rfam family "Bacterial large subunit ribosomal RNA", at positions 1 to 379 of the family's 2925-position model. Lineage: Bacteria; Bacillati; Bacillota; Clostridia; Eubacteriales; Desulfitobacteriaceae. The record is from Rfam by way of RNAcentral.
GGUCAAGCUACUAAGGGCGUACGGUGGAUGCCUAGGCGCUAAGAGUCGAUGAAGGGCGCGGUUAACAGCGAAAUGCCACGGGGAGUCGUAAGCAGGCUUUGAUCCGUGGAUACCCGAAUGGGGCAACCCAACCGGAGUCAUAUCUGGUUAUCGUUAACUGAAUACAUAGGUUAACGAAGGCAACCCGGGGAACUGAAACAUCUAAGUACCCGGAGGAAGAGAAAGAAUAAUCGAUUCCCUGAGUAGCGGCGAGCGAAACGGGAAGAGCCCAAACCGGUCCUUCGGGAUCCGGGGUUGUAGGACCCUCUAUUAAGAAUGAUUCCUUAGCUGAACAGAACUGGAAAGUUCGGGCAGAGAAGGUAACACCCCUGUAAA